UUCUCUUCAUUAACAGCUCUGCUUAAUAAAAAGAUUUUUUAAAAUCCAAUUUGUGCAACCAGCUGAAGAGUAAACCCAAGUAAUUGAUCACCUUGCCAGCCUCAGUAAAUGCUAUAUUGAUGUGUUUUAGGAAAUCCACGUUCAACAAAGAUUUAUACUAAUUGCUGAAGAUAAGAAGGAAUAAGAUGUGAUCUCUAUACAUGAUAUAUUUUGGGAAGAAAUUGGCUAAGAAGAUAUCAUGUGCUCUUGAAGAAUGAAGUUUUUUAGGUAGAAAAUAGAUUGGAAUUAAAUGUCACGUGGAAAAAAGCCAACAUGGCAUUCUGUUAAGAAGAUAGACAACCUAAGUGAUGUCUAUCCUGCUUCAAAGAAAAAACUCAGGAGGCUGUACAUUCAUUUAGAGCAGAGUAGACGAAACCUCCUAUGCUCUGGCUUGGGAACCAGGAGGAAUCACUGACUGAGAUUUGCCAACCAGACCUCUAUGGUAAGUUUGAAUUUGAAAUGUGUGGGUUGAUUUUCAUUAUUCAUUAUUUCUUUUGAUCUUGGGGAGGGGAAGAAAUUAACAAAUUUUAAUGCAGUGUUAUAUAUUCAAAUAAAUAUCAUAUUGAGGAAAUUAUUGCUGGAAAUUUUUUAUUCAAGUGUUUAAUGAGUAAGCUGACUGACUUGUCAUCCAAGUAUUUUGGACUUCUUGUUGAUACUAGGUUUCGCCUAUUUUUUCUUAUAUGAUCAGUGGAUUUGCUAUGGGGAUAUCUUAUGUCAAGGCAGAUGUCGAGUUUAUGACAUUUAGACAUCUAUUUUUGAUAAUGGAAGGGUUCAAUAAAUACAAGAGUGUGACAUCAACACAAGGAGAAGGAAAGAGACAAGAGAUUGGUCUAGGAAGUUGAAGGUUCUUAUUAAGAAAAAAGAAAGGAGGGAGAUGGUGAAAAGCCAAUUUUACAUUGGUUAAGCACUAGAACUCAAACAUGAUAUUCUAAUGAUGAAGACAGGUUGAGUGGGCUCAUGGGAGUGUGUGUGUGAAACAGAAAGAGAG
RNAcentral lists this long non-coding RNA (1027 nucleotides) under Pan paniscus (pygmy chimpanzee). RNAcentral's name for it is "lncRNA (ENSPPAG00000045330.1)". The record is from RNAcentral. Lineage: Eukaryota; Metazoa; Chordata; Mammalia; Primates; Hominidae.